GGCGGAAUCUGAACAAGACUUGGUGGCUACAACUGAUACCACUCAAAUUACCCUAAGGAGUGUUACUCUUAUCAAAAGAGCUUCAGAUGUAGUACUUAGGGAUCGAAUCCACAAGGAGCUAGGGAACAAUUAAAUCUAGUGUUAUUAAUUCCAAAGGUUGUAAAUGUCUAAAUGAAAUAGCAAUAGUAACAAGCGAGUAAAUAAUAAAUUUAACUUGGUUGGAAAUGAUAUUAGAUGCAGGGCCACAAUUUAGGUGUUGGAGAUUAUAAUACCUAUAAAUGCCUAACUGUUGCAUGCAUGAUAUAUAAGAGCCCAUUCGCUUAACUCAGUGAUCAGCUGUCGCAUGUACCACCGGUUAACAUACUAGAUCUCGUGUCUCAACG
RNAcentral lists this long non-coding RNA (383 nucleotides) under Brassica napus (rape). RNAcentral describes it as "long non-coding RNA (BNAP_LNC019716)". The record is from RNAcentral. Lineage: Eukaryota; Viridiplantae; Streptophyta; Magnoliopsida; Brassicales; Brassicaceae.